Molecule: ribosomal RNA, 486 nt
Filed under: uncultured bacterium
Lineage: Bacteria
Description: partial 16S ribosomal RNA
Rfam family: Bacterial small subunit ribosomal RNA
Source: RNAcentral
AUUGAACGCUGGCGGCAUGCCUUACACAUGCAAGUCGAACGGCAGCGCGGACUUCGGCCUGGCGGCGAGUGGCGAACGGGUGAGUAAUACAUCGGAACGUACCCUGUUGUGGGGGAUAACUAGUCGAAAGAUUAGCUAAUACCGCAUACGACCUGAGGGUGAAAGUGGGGGACCGGAAACGGCCUCAUGCAGCAGGAGCGGCCGAUGUCUGAUUAGCUAGUUGGUGGGGUAAAGGCCCACCAAGGCGACGAUCAGUAGCUGGUCUGAGAGGACGAUCAGCCACACUGGGACUGAGACACGGCCCAGACUCCUACGGGAGGCAGCAGUGGGGAAUUUUGGACAAUGGGGGCAACCCUGAUCCAGCAAUGCCGCGUGUGUGAAGAAGGCCUUCGGGUUGUAAAGCACUUUUGUCCGGAAAGAAAUCGCGCUGGUUAAUACCUGGCGUGGAUGACGGUACCGGAAGAAUAAGCACCGGCUAACUACGUG